AUGACGGCUCUAUGAGUUGUAAACUGCUUUUGUACAAGGGUAAACCCUGGGACGUGUCCCAGGCUGAAAGUACUGUACGAAUAAGGAUCGGCUAACUCCGUGCCAGCAGCCGCGGUAAUACGGAGGAUCCAAGCGUUAUCCGGAUUUAUUGGGUUUAAAGGGUGCGUAGGCGGAUUAGUAAGUUAGAGGUGAAAGCUCGGGGCUCAACUCCGGAACUGCCUCUGAUACUGCUGAUCUAGAGAGUAGAUGCGGUAGGCGGAAUGUAUGGUGUAGCGGUGAAAUGCUUAGAGAUCAUACAGAACACCGAUUGCGAAGGCAGCUUACCAAACUAUAUCUGACGUUGAGGCACGAAAGCGUGGGGAGCAAACAGGAUUAGAUACCCUGGUAGUCCACGCAGUAAACGAUGAUAGCUCGUUGUCGGCGAUACACAGUCGGUGACUUAGAGAAAUCGAUAAGCUAUCCACCUGGGGAGUACGUUCGCAAGAAUGAAACUCAAAGGGAUUGACGGGGGCCCGCACAAGCGGAGGAACAUGUGGUUUAAUUCG
RNAcentral lists this ribosomal RNA (545 nucleotides) under uncultured Alistipes sp. Its description in RNAcentral is "bacterial SSU rRNA". It matches the Rfam family "Bacterial small subunit ribosomal RNA", at positions 408 to 953 of the family's 1533-position model. The record is from RNAcentral. Lineage: Bacteria; Pseudomonadati; Bacteroidota; Bacteroidia; Bacteroidales; Rikenellaceae.